Molecule: unclassified non-coding RNA, 287 nt
Filed under: Hevea brasiliensis (rubber tree)
Lineage: Eukaryota; Viridiplantae; Streptophyta; Magnoliopsida; Malpighiales; Euphorbiaceae
Source: RNAcentral
ACCAAUAAUAAAAAUACACACUAGUAAUUUUAUUAAAAGAUAUAAAAUCGUAAUAAACUUAAAAAGAAAUGCUACUGCAACACCAUUUAUGAUAAAAUUACUGGGUGGUUUUAUUAUUGGUUGGGAGCACCAUCUCUUCUUUUUUUUUUUUUAAAAAAAGCUCUCAAUGAAAUGUACAUCUUAUGCAAUGUAAUUUUAUUUUAUUUUUUAAUCAAAGCUGAGGGCCGCCUGAGGCAAUGUAUUCACUACAAAGAAAAUUCCAAUUGACGCAUGUGUUGAUAUUGUGG